UCGAUGCCAAUUUCAAGAUAGUUCAUUUAAAACUUAGUAAUCUUUCAUAAACGAGAAAACCCAAACAGAGUUCGAAACAAAGGAAAAUUCAAAUAAAAAACAUCCCAAAAAUAAAAAAAAGAGGCAGCAGCAUAGAUUCUCUCAAUCUCUUCUUAUGUCACUGUUGUUUGGUUUCGACCUUCUUCUUCUGCCAGAGCCUGUCGACGCCACUGUCUGCGUCUCCCUGCAAUUUAAAUCAAAACGUUAAUAGACAAACACAAUAAUCAUACACUUUGUUAUAUAAACAAUCGUGGAAGACUAAUUUAAUAUUUGAAAUAAUGACAAAGUAGAUUAGAUGAGAGUUAUGACAGACCUGAGCACGGACAAACCCGCAGAGAGCAAGGGUGGUGAACUGGCCAGUGUAGAUACCAUCGGCAUCAAGAUGACCAAUGUUAAGCUGAACAGAGGCGUGAUCCUUUGAUGUGAUCAAUCUGUUUGUGGCCGAGCUGCAUAUUUACAACCAAAGAAGAAUUAGCUAAAUUUAAAUCAAAACAGUCAAUAAAGAAUAAUAACAAAGCCGAUAUACCAUUUCCUGGGAAUGUAUAGCUCAGUGACGACACCUUCUUCGUUUUGCAUGAUUCUUAGCUUUUAAAAUCGAUCUGAUCCAUUAAGAAACAAUUUCUCAUGAGAAAUAAUAGAACAUCAUUUUUUUUUUAAAAGAGAAACAUCUUCUCCAGCAGAGGAACAUGUUUUAUCAAUGAAGUGAAGAAUAAUCUCAAGCUCCUAACAGAGAGAUCAUCAACAUUCAACGAAAGUCUAAAGAUGACGCGUUUUAGUAGCAAAACGUAGGAUGAUAAAUGCAUAAACAGGAUCAAGAUAACUGCAAGGAGAUUAAAGAGACUAAGAUGUAUUUCUAACCUGUGAGAAGAAGUAGAAGAAGAAUGUGUGGAGAGAGAGCAGUCCGGCGGCGAGGGUAAAACGAGACUACAAAAGCAAUUUAUAGUUGCGACUUCUUAGGGUUUGCUUAGAUCUAGUAUAGCGAACCGAGCCAAUUUGAGCCGGUAUGUAAAUUGGAAUGAACCGAACCGAACCGAACAGGCUAAAGGGAAACUGGUUUAACCGAACUUAAUACAAGAUAGUUUCGGUUUAUUAGAAAACCGGAUGAUCGUCAAAAUGGAAUUAAACCGGUACAAAACCAGAAAAAGUUAUGGUUUGGAUUUGGAUGAACUAAAAAACCAAACUGAACUGCAUAACAGAGUCUCUAAUUCCAUAGCCAAUUAGCAUGUAAUCAUCAACUUACAUUAGAUUUUGAGUUCAUCUGUUACAGAACAUGGAACAUAUCAAUGAAAGAAACAAGAUUAUAUAAUGCUUGAUUCCCCUUGGCGAAUAUUUCAGAUUUUAAACAAUAUUUUUCAAAAUUUAGUUUUGUAGACAGAAGAAGUUGUUUCACUAGCAAGCGACAAACAAUGAUAACACAUACAAAUCUCGACGAAGCAAAACUGGUGUGUACAAAGUCUCUUCUUUGUUUCGUUACAAUGAGGAACUCAUAGUUCUCCAUGUUGAUCCUCUUCUCAUAGACCUCUAGACAAACCUGAUAUUGACACACAUCAAUAAACAAAGGUAGGUAAGAAACCACAGAAAAUAAUAUCAAUUCAAUGUGAACUUGAGUUUAAAUUUUAAACAGAACUCACACAAGAAUCACUUCAUCAAAAUCUUAACCAAAACUUGUUUUCAUGUCCCGAAACUGCGGUCUCCAGCAUCUCCAAGCCCAGGGAUGAUAAACCUAAUCCAUAUAAUAAACGUAUUAACGACAUUGUAUUAUUUGCUAGUUUGCUUCGAGAAAUCAAGAAGAAUCCAGUGAAAGCAGGCCUGACGACUUACCCCUUUUCAUUGACUUCAGGAUCGAUGAUUCCAGCAUACACAUGAAGCCUGGAAUGUUGCACACAGUUUCAUAAUCUAUCCAAAUGAUUAAAAAAAAAAGUUAAAAGAGUAAAUAUUUCGGUAUUGAUACCCGGGGUACUUCUCAUUAAGCUUUGAUAGUGCAGGAGGUGCAGCAACCGCACAAAUCUGUAAUCAGGGAGAUACCAGAUAAAGCUUUAUAUCUAACGGAUAAAUGUUCUAUAUCCAGCGUUUCAGAAAACAGCUAUAUGCACGCUUACCACUUUGAUUUGCUGAACAGACAAACCACGUUCCUUCAACAUAUCCAUCGCCGCAAUUAUCGUACCGCCUGAAAUACAAACAAACUCAUGUUUUGAAGCAGUAGAAAACAUUUUGUAUUACCAUGUUAUGCAUUCACAUUCCUAUGUAUCGCUUACAUUUGAGACACACAUCAAAACACUUAACAACAAUUGUUCUACUGUGGUGGUGGCUGAAAUGACAAGACUUCUUUACCUGUAGCAAGCAUUGGGUCCACCAGAAAAACUCUGGAAUUCUUGGGAAAUUCGACAGGCAGCCUGAAGAACAUGUAUGUCCAAAGCUGUCAUCAUAAACGCUUCAGUACUAACUACAUAAUGAUGCGAAGAAGUUCUUACUUGUUGAGAUACACAGAAGGCAAGAGCGUUUUCUCGUCCCGACUUAUUCCUGAUAAAAAGGAUAAACACAGAGACGUAAGAACCUAUAACAAUCCUAUCGUCAGGCCAGAGAUAAUAUAGUAAGUAUAUAUUUACCUAAAUGAUAUAUUUUAUUUGCAGGCAAAACUGUUGAUGCGUGUUCCGCAAGAGCAAGACCAGCUCUUAAAAUCGGAACAACCUACGCAGAGACAAAAGCCAAGAACGAGAAAUGUCCAAACUUUUUGGAUUGACAAAAAAAAAAAAAAAAAUUCAAAUAAAAAACAUCCCAAAAAUAAAAAAAAGAGGCAGCAGCAUAGAUUCUCUCAAUCUCUUCUUAUGUCACUGUUGUUUGGUUUCGACCUUCUUCUUCUGCCAGAGCCUGUCGACGCCACUGUCUGCGUCUCC
RNAcentral lists this long non-coding RNA (2933 nucleotides) under Brassica napus (rape). RNAcentral's name for it is "long non-coding RNA (BNAP_LNC018682)". Lineage: Eukaryota; Viridiplantae; Streptophyta; Magnoliopsida; Brassicales; Brassicaceae. The record is from RNAcentral.